RNAcentral lists this unclassified non-coding RNA (380 nucleotides) under soil metagenome. RNAcentral describes it as "partial contains 5.8S ribosomal RNA, internal transcribed spacer 2, and large subunit ribosomal RNA". The stretch from base 1 to 120 matches the Rfam family "5.8S ribosomal RNA", at positions 35 to 154 of the family's 154-position model. The record is from RNAcentral.
GAUGAAGAACGCAGCGAAAUGCGAUAAGUAAUGUGAAUUGCAGAAUUCAGUGAAUCAUCGAAUCUUUGAACGCACCUUGCACCCUUUGGCAUUCUGAAGGGUAUGCUCGUUUGAGUGUCAUUGUACCCUCACACUCCCGAUCUUUGCAUUGGGAGCAGUGGACUUGGGUUUGCUGCUUCACCGUCGCUUACCUCAAAUAGGUUAGUGCAACUCUUGGUUGGACAUAGUACGGCGUGAUAAGUGUUCUUCGCCGGUGCCUCGCAAAGAGGGUGGCCGAUCGGGAUGUUGUGCUCCAAACCGUCUUCGGACAAUCUCUGACGACUUGACCUCAAAUCGAGUAAGACUACCCGCUGAACUUAAGCAUAUCAAUAAGCGGAGGA